This 411-nucleotide ribosomal RNA is filed under the name Sepiola sp. JMS-2004. Its description in RNAcentral is "partial 12S ribosomal RNA". The record is from RNAcentral. Lineage: Eukaryota; Metazoa; Mollusca; Cephalopoda; Sepiida; Sepiolidae.
UUCUUUAUUUUAAAAAUUUUAUUACUUAAGUAGUGUGAACAUAGUUUUAUAUAUUAAAAGAUUGUUUUGAGUAUGUUUUAAAUUUAAAAGGCUUGGCGGUGUUAUAUAUCCUUCCAGAGGAGUUUGCUUAUUAAUUUGAUAAUCCUCAAUUUAUACUUACUUUUUUUUGAAUAGAUUAUUAAAAUCAGUUUGUGUAUUGCUGUCAUCAGUUUAUUUUGUAAAAAUUUUAUAAGAAACUUAAUAAUAAAAGGGUUAUUAUGUCAAGUCAAAAUGCAGCUAAUAGAAAAGGUUUAUAAAGUGAACUACGGUUUAUAAUUUUUAAUCGGAUUAAAUUAUGUAAUUGUUUUAUAAAGUUGGAUUUGGUAGUAAUAUUAUAAUAGUGAGUUUUUAUGAAUUAGGUUUUAUAAUGCG